Molecule: long non-coding RNA, 940 nt
Organism: Salarias fasciatus (jewelled blenny)
Lineage: Eukaryota; Metazoa; Chordata; Actinopteri; Blenniiformes; Blenniidae
Exons: 4
Source: RefSeq, a predicted model, not a curated record
AAAAGUUUCGCGCUUACACGGCAACUUUUUGAAAACGUGUCAGUUUCCAUGGAAAUGGCAGAAAUGCUGAAAAUGAUGUAGCUAGCAUGUUUGGAUGAGUUGUCCAAUUUGAGCAGUAGAAAUGAAUGCAGCAUCGUUCUGUAGAAAAUGAGCAGAAGCACCUCAGACCAGGGCUCCAGCCGAGGGGAAGUGAAGAGGAAUACACUAAUAAAGCAGAUUUAUGGACCUGCAUGCCGUUCAAAAACCUGCUGUGGCUCCACAGUCCCUCUACAUUGAAGUGAGUCUGAAGAGGACCAUCAGCAUGAUCCCCAGAGUGGCGUCUCUCGCAAUGUGCAGCUGCUGGUGAAACAAGAUGCUCCGUGGAUACUCAGCAGGACCUGCAGCACAUCAAGGAGGAACCAGACGAACUCCACCUCAGUCAGGAGGGAAUGACGCAGGAAGAGAAGCAUGUCGACAGGCACUCCGUCAUUCGUGUUGUGAAGACUGAAGAUGAUAAUGAUGACAAGGAGAAACCCGAGUCCUCACAGCUCCAUCAGACUCAAACUGACUUUCUGAGCAGCAGCUCAGAUAAACCAAUGGAAACAGGAAGUGUUGGAGAGAGAAUUUUCUAUGUGGCUUCACACAGCGCAUCUCAAAGAUACACAGGAGAGACAUCUGCCAGAUCCACCUUAAAAAAGGCAUGUGAAUCAAUACAAAAUUAACAGUUUGUCUUGUUUGUUAUCUUUUACCUUUCUUGUGUUUAUAUUUUUACUUCAUCCACAUUGUCAUUUAACAUGAUACCAGUUGAAGUAUUGCAUUAUUUUUUUUUUUUAUCAUACUUUAAUUCAAUAAUGAAACAAACUAAAGAUAAGAUGUUGUUGCUGCAGUAGUUCCACACAGAGACCACCAGAGGGCAGAAAAAAUUAAGCUUAUCUGAACAAGUCAUGUCAAGGGACACUCG